UACAGAGACUGCAAGCGUUAUUCGGAUUCACUGGGCGUAAAGGGUGCGCAGGCGGCCAGGUGUGUCAGGUGUGAAAGCCCGGAGCUUAACUCCGGAAUUGCGCCUGAAUCUACUUGGCUAGAGCAUUGGAGAGGGUAGCGGAAUUCACGGUGUAGCAGUGAAAUGCGUAGAUAUCGGGAGGAACACCUGCGGCGAAGGCGGCUUCCUGGACUGCAACUGACGCUGAGGCGCGAAAGCUAGGGGAGCAAACAGG
RNAcentral lists this ribosomal RNA (253 nucleotides) under uncultured prokaryote. RNAcentral describes it as "partial 16S ribosomal RNA". It matches the Rfam family "Bacterial small subunit ribosomal RNA", at positions 524 to 776 of the family's 1533-position model. The record is from RNAcentral.